GAUGAACGCUGGCGGCGUGCCUAAUACAUGCAAGUCGAGCGAACGGACGAGAAGCUUGCUUCUCUGAUGUUAGCGGCGGACGGGUGAGUAACACGUGGAUAACCUACCUAUAAGACUGGGAUAACUUCGGGAAACCGGAGCUAAUACCGGAUAAUAUUUUGAACCGCAUGGUUCAAAAGUGAAAGACGGUCUUGCUGUCACUUAUAGAUGGAUCCGCGCUGCAUUAGCUAGUUGGUAAGGUAACGGCUUACCAAGGCAACGAUGCAUAGCCGACCUGAGAGGGAGAUCGGCCACCCUGGACCUGAGACACGGUCCAGACUCCUACGGGAGGCAGCAGUAGGGAAUCUUCCGCAAUGGGCGCAAGCCUGACGGAGCAACGCCGCGUGAGUGAUGAAGGUCUUCGGAUCGUAAAACUCUGUUAUUAGGGAAGAACAUAUGUGUAAGUAACUGUGCACAUCUUGACGGUACCUAAUCAGAAAGCCACGGCUAACUACGUG
RNAcentral lists this ribosomal RNA (497 nucleotides) under uncultured bacterium. Its description in RNAcentral is "partial 16S ribosomal RNA". It matches the Rfam family "Bacterial small subunit ribosomal RNA", at positions 28 to 507 of the family's 1533-position model. The record is from RNAcentral.